GGGCCCGCACAAGCGGUGGAGCAUGUGGUUUAAUUCGAUGAUACGCGAGGAACCUUACCAGGGCUUAAAUGUAGUCUGACAGCUUUAGAGAUAGAGUUUUCUUCGGACAGAUUACAAGGUGCUGCAUGGUUGUCGUCAGCUCGUGCCGUGAGGUGUCAGGUUAAGUCCGGCAACGAGCGCAACCCACAUCCCUAGUUGCCAGCAGUUCGGCUGGGCACUCUAUGGAAACUGCCUGUGAUAAGCAGGAGGAAGGUGUGGAUGACGUCAAGUCCUCAUGGCCCUUACGGGUUGGGCUACACACGUGCUACAAUGGUAGUGACAAUGGGUUAAUCCCAAAAAGCUAAUCUCAGUUCGGAUUGGGGUCUGCAACUCGACCCCAUGAAGUCGGAAUCGCUAG
RNAcentral lists this ribosomal RNA (397 nucleotides) under uncultured bacterium. RNAcentral describes it as "bacterial SSU rRNA". It matches the Rfam family "Bacterial small subunit ribosomal RNA", at positions 917 to 1338 of the family's 1533-position model. The record is from RNAcentral.